This 179-nucleotide small nucleolar RNA is filed under the name Neogobius melanostomus (round goby). RNAcentral describes it as "Small nucleolar RNA SNORA81 (ENSNMLG00000007392.1)". It matches the Rfam family "Small nucleolar RNA SNORA81". Lineage: Eukaryota; Metazoa; Chordata; Actinopteri; Gobiiformes; Gobiidae. The record is from Rfam by way of RNAcentral.
ACUUCUGCAUCCAAGUGAUCUGCUAUAACCGUUUGAUUCAGAUCAGUCUGUGUGAUGCGGUAAUGCUAGCAGAGCAAUACGCAGAAGGAGAUGAAUGAGCACCGAGCUGAAAAUGAGCAUUGGUCGAACCUCUUUCCUAAUGUUCAUUGCCCUCUGUCUCAAGGCUCAGUGCCACAUAA